RNAcentral lists this ribosomal RNA (374 nucleotides) under uncultured eukaryote. Its description in RNAcentral is "partial 18S ribosomal RNA". It matches the Rfam family "Eukaryotic small subunit ribosomal RNA", at positions 592 to 975 of the family's 1831-position model. The record is from RNAcentral.
CAAUAGCGUAUAUUUAAGUUGUUGCAGUUAAAAAGCUCGUAGUUGGAUUUCGGUUAAGAGCGACCGGUCCGCCGUUUGGUGUGCACUGGUUGGUUUUAACUUCCUGUAGAGGACGUGCUCUGGGUUUAACGACCUGGACUCGGAGUCUACGUGGUUACUUUGAAAAAAUUAGAGUGUUCAAAGCGGGCUUACGCUUGAAUAUUUCAGCAUGGAAUAACACUAUAGGACUCCUGUCCUAUUUCGUUGGUCUCGGGACGGGAGUAAUGAUUAAGAGGAACAGUUGGGGGCAUUCGUAUUUCAUUGUCAGAGGUGAAAUUCUUGGAUUUAUGAAAGACGAACUUCUGCGAANGNAUUUGCNAAGGAUGUUUNCAUUA